This 1874-nucleotide long non-coding RNA is filed under the name Sus scrofa (pig). RNAcentral's name for it is "lncRNA (ENSSSCG00000044663.1)". Lineage: Eukaryota; Metazoa; Chordata; Mammalia; Artiodactyla; Suidae. The record is from RNAcentral.
UCACUGGGGAACUCCAGCUGUGAAACAAAAAAUGUUGCCUUUCUGCCAUCAGGAAUGGCACCUGAAGCCACCCAGCCAGGUCUCAGCUCCCAGGUGGGGCUUUAGCGCAGCCAGCACACGUCUGCAGUUCAUACCAUUCAAGCCCCCAGAUCUGUGCCUUUCUGUUAAGUGAAGGUGCCUCUACAGUGGACAUGUGAGAGUGUGAGCAUGCGUUCACUUGCAUCGUGAGUGCUGAAGUUAGUCCAUGGCAGCCCUACAGUGGCGAUUGUGUAGACACAUGAGGGCUCCCCAGAAGUCUCUCUCCUGAGCCUGGCCCCAGUUGGUUCCCCAGUGGAAGGCAGGCCCAGCAUACAUCCCUCACCAGAUAAGACUCACCUCCAGUCUGCCCAGGAGAUGGGCAGAGCUCUUGUCUCCUCCUGAGCACUGGGGGGGCACCAUUAGGUGAGAAAAUGGUGAAUUUGCUGACUCCCUACAACCUGCUGGUGAAUUCUGUUCUUUAAGUUCUGAAUCUCAAUGGCUUGGGAAAAAAACCAUCAAGCAAGAAGGAGUCAAGUCCGGGAGUUCCCAUUCUGGCGCAGCAGAAAUGAAUCCAACUAGUAACCCUGAGGUUGCAGGUUCGAGCCCUAGCCUCUCUCAGUGGGUUAAGGAUCCGGCAUUGCCAUGAGUUGUGGUGUAGGUCACAGACACAGCUCAGAUCCUAUGUUGCUGUGGCUGUGGCCACGCCAUUAAGGAGUUCAGUCAGUUGUUCAAACCUUUAUCGGGCUCCUGCUGUUGGCCAGUUGCACUUCCCAGCCUUGUAAGUACUCCCUGUGUGCUGAGUGGUGCACACACGCACACACUUCUUUUCCUUCUCACAACAACCUUGUGACACAGGUGCCAUCAUCCUCCUCUCUUGCAGGUGAGCGUGUAGAGAGGCUGCCAGGCUCGCUUAGCUGGUCAGGAUUGAGCCCAGGUACAGAGCUCAGAGUCUAAGACACUGUAAAGACAAUGACCAUGCUGUGUUUGGGACUGCAGGAACAGAGAGCAUGUGCCUACCCCAGCCUGGCUGCAGCACUUGGGGACAUGUCCUGACUCCAACGGGUCUUGGGGAGUUGGACAAAGAAGGCGAAAGGCGUUCCUGGAAGAGGGGAUGGCACAUACAACGGCAGAGAAGUGGGCGGACCCUCAGCCUGUGCAGAAAACUGCAGGCAUUUGCCAAGGCAUGCAGGGAGCCUGGGGCAGCAGGGGCGCAAAUGCAGGGCUGAGACCUCAGAGAUGAACAGGGGCUGAGCAUGCAGUGCCUUGAAAUGCAGGCCCAGGAACCAGACUCUCCCCUGAGAGCAGCGGGAAGCUAACACAUGGAGCAUGCAGGGAAGUGACUUGUGGAUGUCACCGUCAUAAGGUCAUUGAUCACAGCAGGACAUGGACAAGGUUUGCAGAGCAGCAGUCUGGAGGCAGGGAGGCUGGUGAGGAGGCCGUCGAGGGUACCCAGCAGGGAGGUGAUGGGGGCCAGCAUGAAAUCAUGGAACGGGCAGCUCGGUGGCAGACAAGGCAGCUCCUGUCCAUUUGAGGGACAUCUGUGGACCCUCUCGCCACCCCCUUCGGGGGGCAAAACCUCAGCAGAACAAGACUGACCAGAAUGCAAAGGAUCCUGAUCCCAGAGUUCCCGUUGUGGCUCAAUGGAAACAAAUCUGAGUAGUAUCCAUGAGGAUGCAGGUUCUAUCCCUGGUCUCGAUCAGUGAGUUAGAGAUCUGGCGUUGCCAUGAGCUGCAGUGUAGGUUGCACACGCGGCUCAGACCUGGUGUUGCUGUGGCUGUGGCAUAGGCCAGAGGCUCAGCUCCGAUUUGACCCCUAGCCUGGGAAUCUCCAUAUGUCACGAGUGCAGCCCUAAAAAG